This 361-nucleotide small nuclear RNA is filed under the name Dipodomys ordii (Ord's kangaroo rat). Its description in RNAcentral is "7SK RNA". The stretch from base 45 to 329 matches the Rfam family "7SK RNA". From Rfam's summary of the family: 7SK was discovered as an abundant small nuclear RNA in the mid-70s but a possible function has only recently been suggested. Two independent studies have found that 7SK RNA binds the CDK9/cyclin T complex (known as elongation factor P-TEFb). Lineage: Eukaryota; Metazoa; Chordata; Mammalia; Rodentia; Heteromyidae. The record is from Rfam by way of RNAcentral.
GGCUGGGAAGGGAUCUGAAGGGUAAACAAAGGAGGAGGAUGCAAUGCUUGGUAAGAAAUGUAUGCAUUAUCCUGCCCAUGCAAUUGUAACCCCUCUGUAAAGUAUGUUCACAAAUAAAUCAAAAUUAAAUUAAAAAAAUGAAGUACCUACAGCAAACAAAAAAAAAAAAAAAGAAGAGGAUGACCAUCCCCGAUAGAGGAGGACCGGUCUUCUGUCAAUGGUAUACAAGUGGCUGCGCUCCCCUGCUAGAACCUCCAAACAAGCUCUCAAAAAUGAGGGAAAGUAUAGAGUCUAUGUUUCUUUGGGUCUGGCUUAUUUCACUUUAUAUGAUUUUUUCCAAGUCUAUUUCCUUACAAAUGUG